UCGUCUUCGAGCCCUGCUUCCUGUGGCGAAUGCUAUGGAAACCGGGCCGUGCUGAGAAAUCGGCUUCAGGGUUGUGCGGGAAACGGCGCAGCCUCCCUUUUGCAAAGAAG
Molecule: non-coding RNA, 110 nt
Filed under: pig gut metagenome
Description: Moco (molybdenum cofactor) riboswitch
Rfam family: Molybdenum/Tungsten riboswitch aptamer (Moco RNA motif)
Source: RNAcentral